UCUUUGUGUCUAUCCACUGUAGCUUCUAUGGAAAAAGAAUAUGAGGCAUUACUUUUGGUACAGCCUACGUAGAAAAGAACUCUCAGGUCAAGGAAAAUGGAGAGAUUGUCUCUCUGAAGAGGUGGUGGAGUAGCUGUUCAGUAAAUCUGGAAGGUUGGGAGAAGUUCAUGCAAGUCAGAACAGAAAAGAGCUGAUUAUGAAAGUGAAAGAAAAGCUUUCCCAAGCAUUGGAUGCAUUUGAUAUUCAUGCAAACUGAAGCUUUUAAGGUGUACCGUGAAGAAGAAAUUACUACUUUCAUACAGCAGAACCCAUCCCUGG
Molecule: long non-coding RNA, 318 nt
Filed under: Gallus gallus (chicken)
Lineage: Eukaryota; Metazoa; Chordata; Aves; Galliformes; Phasianidae
Description: long non-coding RNA NONGGAT008162
Source: RNAcentral